UACGUAGGUGACCAGCGUUGUCCGGAUUUACUGGGCGUAAAGAGCGCGCAGGCGGUCGUUCAAGUCGAGUGUGAAAGCCCCCCGGCUCAACUGGGGAGGGUCACUCGAUACUGAUCGACUGGAAGGCAGGAGAGGGAAGCGGAAUUCCCGGUGUAGUGGUGAAAUGGCGUAGAUAUCAAGCGGAACACCGGAUGGCGUAGGGCGGCC
Molecule: ribosomal RNA, 207 nt
Filed under: uncultured bacterium
Lineage: Bacteria
Description: partial 16S ribosomal RNA
Rfam family: Bacterial small subunit ribosomal RNA
Source: RNAcentral